RNAcentral lists this ribosomal RNA (420 nucleotides) under Triticum aestivum (bread wheat). RNAcentral's name for it is "partial small subunit ribosomal RNA". Lineage: Eukaryota; Viridiplantae; Streptophyta; Magnoliopsida; Poales; Poaceae. The record is from RNAcentral.
AUGGAAACUUUAGAAGAACAUGUGAUGAAGGAACAGGUCAAGGACACACCCGAAGAAGACCCAAUUAAACCAUGCACCAAGUCAUGCUAUUCAUGUGGAGAAGAAGGACACAUCUCCCAAAAUUGUCUGAAGGGGGAUCUAGUAGAAUUCUUGACAAUGGAAGUAGAGUAUGACCUACAGGAAAUAGAAUUCCUAAUUGGCAUGGAAAAAUCCAGGAAGAGAAACAGAAUGUAUCCCCAGAACAACCCAAUUUCUACAAGGAAGAACCUGAGUCAUAUCACAUGUUUCAGGUGCAAGGGUUCAGGGCACUACUUCAGUGGUUGCCCAAAAAGGAAGCCGAGGACCCAAGGAGGCUAUAUGAUCACAAGGAAACCUCGAGACUUGUCAAAAGUAAUAUGUUUCCUUUGUAAUGAAGCAUGA